RNAcentral lists this unclassified non-coding RNA (204 nucleotides) under Hevea brasiliensis (rubber tree). The record is from RNAcentral. Lineage: Eukaryota; Viridiplantae; Streptophyta; Magnoliopsida; Malpighiales; Euphorbiaceae.
GGAAAGGAAAACGAAACAAGGAAUGUUGAAAAAUGGGCUGGGCUUAUUAUUUUAAACACAUGUAGACGACGGUGGCAAAGGAGAAGGCCCACAGUUAACUUCAAUUUCAUUUAUCUCAGUUUUUUCUGUUAUAACCGAAUUAAAAACCAAACCGAACUGAAAACUGAUAUUCUUAAAAAUAGAUAACCAAACCAAAUCAAUUGA